CAUGCUAACCAGCUAACGGCUAACGUUAGUUUGCUGCAGUGGGAGCAACGUUAACAGUACCACGGUGUGUGGUCACUUCGACACGGUAGCAUUAGCUUAGCAUCACGAAGUGAACUGGUACUAACAGUGUAGUGGUUCUGGCACAUACACUGGAGGCAAACCAGUUGGGAUGCACAUUGCUAACAGUAUGUAGCAUGCGUUGCUCAUGCUGUGGUUUGUAGUCAUUUCAUGCAUUCUUUCUGCAUUCUAGCAGACUUCUACCAGCUGGUUAACCUCCCUGUGGUUGACUGUUUUUAUCGUAACGUUAAACUGCGUGGCUCAGCCGCAAUGGGCCCCUUUAAAACGUCUUCAUAUUCUCGUUGUUCCGGAUCCUGGAGUGUGUGGACUGCGUGGAAAAUCGCAUGACGAGUCGGGAUCUUUUGUUUUGGAGCAAACGACAGAAACCAGCUUUGUUCUGUGAAGCAGCUGCAGCAGCUCAACACGAACGAGUCCUUGAUGGACUGAGGAGAUGAGGAUGAGGAGAUGAGAAAUUAGGAGAUGAAGAGCUGAGGAGGAUUAGGAGAUGAGGAUUUCCUGUUGAGCUGUUUUGUACUCGAUAUGCCUCUUUUAUGUUGUGCUGUAGGAACCGUUAUAUAGAGUUUAUGACUUGAUCGUUAAUGUUGAAUAGAGGCAUCGACCAAUCGGGUCAAGUUCUACCGAGACAACUCUCCAGGUACUCUGAUCAAUACUAUUGUCGUUUGUUUAUAUGUGAAAAAAAGGGACUCAUUAAGGAAAAAAUCGAUGUCGCCUGAAGGUUUUUGUGUGUAAACUAUUCCUUCUUCAGCAGCAAUUCAAAAUACGUUUCAAUUGAUCAACACUAACGUUUACUAUUGCUUUCACAUCGUCCCGGGGAUUGACACAUGAUGACCGCUGUCCGUCGUUUUAUUCACCCGCGCGAUAUUUUCCCUAACCCGGUGUCUCGGGGUCACGGGGUCACAGGGUCACAGGGUCGCUGACGCACAUGUCUGACUGUUGUCCUCUCCACAGUGUGACGUUCAUCUCUCACUGCCCUC
Molecule: long non-coding RNA, 1052 nt
Organism: Gasterosteus aculeatus aculeatus (three-spined stickleback)
Lineage: Eukaryota; Metazoa; Chordata; Actinopteri; Perciformes; Gasterosteidae
Source: Ensembl